CCGGUAUCGUGAUAGUAUUGUACCGUGAACCCGGUAUCGUGAUACUAUUGUACUGUGAACCCGGUAUCGUGAUACGUAUCGGAUCGUGAAUCUGGUAUCGUGAUACUAUUGUACCGUGAACCCGGUAUCGUGAUACGUAUCGAAUCGUGAACCCGGUAUCGUGAUAGUAUUGUACCGUGAACCCGGUAUCGUGAUACGUAUCGGAUCGUGAAUCUGGUAUCGUGAUACGUAUCGUGUCGUGAACCCGGUAUCAUGAUAGUAUUGUACCGUGAACCCGGUAUCAUGAUAGUAUUGUACCGUGAACCCGGUAUCGUGAUACGUAUCGGAUCGUGAAUCUGGUAUCGUGAUA
Molecule: long non-coding RNA, 349 nt
Organism: Ictalurus punctatus (channel catfish)
Lineage: Eukaryota; Metazoa; Chordata; Actinopteri; Siluriformes; Ictaluridae
Source: Ensembl